CCCUUAGAUGUUCUGGGCCGCACGCGCGUUACAAUGAAUCGUUCAACAGGUUUCUUCCUGAGUCGAAAGGCUUGGGUAAUCCUUUAAAUACGGUUCGUGCUAGGGAUAGAUUUUUGCAAUUAUUAAUCUUGAACGAGGAAUAUUUAGUAAACGCAGGUCAUCGGCCUGCAUUGAUUACGUCCCUGCCCUUUGUACACACCGCCCGUCGCACCAACCGAUUGGAUGUUUUGUUGAAAUAUGUGGAUGCUUGUUGGGUGAAUUCAUUUUUGCUUGAUAGACAGAAACGUAUUAAAACUGAAUAUCUAGAGGAUGGUGAAGUCGUAACA
This 326-nucleotide ribosomal RNA is filed under the name uncultured eukaryote. Its description in RNAcentral is "partial 18S ribosomal RNA". It matches the Rfam family "Eukaryotic small subunit ribosomal RNA", at positions 1470 to 1796 of the family's 1831-position model. The record is from RNAcentral.